Molecule: ribosomal RNA, 439 nt
Filed under: uncultured Parvibaculum sp.
Lineage: Bacteria; Pseudomonadati; Pseudomonadota; Alphaproteobacteria; Hyphomicrobiales; Parvibaculaceae
Description: bacterial SSU rRNA
Rfam family: Bacterial small subunit ribosomal RNA
Source: RNAcentral
AGAGUUUGAUCCUGGCUCAGAACGAACGCUGGCGGCAGGCUUAACACAUGCAAGUCGAACGGCUGUAGCAAUACAGCAGUGGCAGACGGGUGAGUAACACGUGGGAACCUUCCUAGGGGUACGGAACAACUCAGGGAAACUUGAGCUAAUACCGUAUACGUCCGUAAGGAGAAAGAUUCAUCGCCCCUAGACGGGCCCGCGUCGGAUUAGGUAGUUGGUGGGGUAACGGCCUACCAAGCCUGCGAUCCGUAGCUGAUCUGAGAGGAUGAUCAGCCACACUGGGACUGAGACACGGCCCAGACUCCUACGGGAGGCAGCAGUGGGGAAUCUUGGACAAUGGGCGCAAGCCUGAUCCAGCCAUGCCGCGUGAGUGAAGAAGGCCUUAGGGUUGUAAAGCUCUUUUACCAGGGACGAUAAUGACGGUACCUGAGAAUAGCCC